UUUGCAUUUGUAAUGCUUGGUUCAGUCAUUUUAAGACACUAAGAUUUUAAUAUUUUUUUCUGAAUUUCCCUAAGUCCUAGAAAUUACUCCUCAAAAUGUAAUAGCACAAAAAAUCCUUUAAAGAUAAUUAUAGCAAUAGUUAGAUUUUAUACACUUCUCACUCCCAUAAGAAACAUGUAAAGACCCUGAACUGGGUAGGCUGGAGUAGGUGGGACAGAUUAGCUGAUGCCCUUUUCAUGUGCCCAUGCUGUGUACCCUAAGGGCUUCUCUGUAGCAUUUCACCUGUUACCAUACAUCUGCACCUCACCCCUUGUACAAGUAUAUGACUUGCAGAGAACAAUUCAUCAGUUGUAUACCCCUGAGCAAAUCAUCCUCUCUUAAAACCACAAGAGUGGCCAGGAUAUGGAGUUGUACCUUUGCUAAGGGACCAAGCUUUAGGGACUUUGGUCAAAAGUAGACUCAGGAGGAAAGACAUUUGAAGAUGCUUUUACAUUUCUGGUAAAUCUUAGGAUCCGUUUUCAGCACCAGUGAAGACGUGAACUUUUACACAGGAGCAAAGAACAUGACAAUCCGAAGAGUCUUACCUCUCGGGUACCUUGCCUGUGCUUCAGGUGAUAAUUGACCCUUGAGAGGCUCCUGAGAGCCUGAAUUGUCUUCGCUGCUUACAUCUACUGUCAGGAUCCCAACCAACCACAGAGGCAGGAUUCAGAGCGAGGCCCCAUGUUCAGCGAACGAAGUGGAAGCCAGGAAACAUCUACACAGAUUUUAAUUGAAG
Molecule: long non-coding RNA, 775 nt
Organism: Bos taurus (domestic cattle)
Lineage: Eukaryota; Metazoa; Chordata; Mammalia; Artiodactyla; Bovidae
Source: Ensembl